CUCGCUGACCUCGCCCCCCAGCUGCGUUUCCGAGGGAACGGCUGUCUGUCUGGCUGGAAAGAAGCGGAUGAGUGGACAGAUUAACAGAGCGUGUGAAAGCACCGUGACAAAAAUGAAAUUCCAGCACCAAGGGAGGGACUCAGAGCCCAGGGGAUCGAGUCACUGGGUUAAACAGAAGAGGCGCCUGCAGGUCCUUGACGUUCUUCCAGAAGAACAACUCGAAACAAGGAAAUAGAGGGUCUGUGCCCACGUCAGCGGAGGCAGCAAGGGACCCUUGUGAUGACACUGGGCCGGCCCAGGUAAUCCAGGACGAUCUCCGUCUCGAGAUCCUUGGCUGAGUCACACCCGCAAAGCCCCUUUCCCACGUCACGUUCGCAGGUGGCGGGGUCAGAGCGUGGACAUCUCUGGGAGCCACUGUUCAGCCUUUACGUCAAAUAAACAAGGUGGGGAGGUGGCGAAAGUUCCGGGUUGGGAAGGAACGUCACAGACCAGCUGUGUGGCUCCAGCCGUCUCCUGGCCUCCCUGGGCCUGGUACACACGGGCCUGCUCUCUGCCGGGCGACAGCUCCAGCUGUGGUGUGUGCAGCAUCCAUUCUCUUUUCACUGGUCACAGCUCCUCUGUUCUCCGGGGGAACAGUCCGUCUCUGGCUCUCAGUCCAGGUGCUGCACGUGGAUGUGAACAUCCUCUCCUCUCCAGUCAAGGAUGAGCAAGGGGCGAGCCUGGCCCAUCAGCGUGGGUCAUGACCUUGGCGGGGCCAGUGGUGAGAGCUUUACCUGGAAAUUGGGCCAGGCUCUCUUUCUUCGAGGUGGCGAAGCCAGCAGAAUGAAACCUGGAGCUGCUGGUGGUCGUCCUGCCUCCAGAUAGGAAGACCUUGCUUGAGAGUAGAUCUAUAGAGAAGAAAACAGACUAAGAAGCAGAGGAAGGCCAAUUCCUAUUGACCUUGAGCACCUGGGUCCAGCUGUACCUGAAGCUGGACAGGCCCUGAAAUUUUCAGAUACUGAGAUGAUAAAUCCCCCUUUUGGCUUCAGCCAGCUUGAAUUGAGUUUGUAAUUCUUGCUACUAAGAGUCCUGACUGGUGCUCCCUUCUUCAAUUUGGGCCACUCAGCCCAAUAUCGCAGAAUUAACAUGCCAUUUUGCAUGUAGGCACCAACCUCAUGGGGGCCUCGCUUGCCUGCCUUCCUCUCCCUCCUCUUCCCCUGCCAGCUAUGCUGUUGGGUGAUACAUCGUAAUGUAUAUUUAACAGUGGCUCAAAAUCGAAUUAAUUUAGAUCGGUUAAUAAACUGACAUCCGUUUCU
This 1295-nucleotide long non-coding RNA is filed under the name Equus asinus (donkey). RNAcentral describes it as "lncRNA (ENSEASG00005032328.1)". The record is from RNAcentral. Lineage: Eukaryota; Metazoa; Chordata; Mammalia; Perissodactyla; Equidae.